RNAcentral lists this ribosomal RNA (253 nucleotides) under uncultured bacterium. RNAcentral's name for it is "partial 16S ribosomal RNA". It matches the Rfam family "Bacterial small subunit ribosomal RNA", at positions 524 to 776 of the family's 1533-position model. The record is from RNAcentral.
UACGUAGGGUGCAAGCGUUGUCCGGAAUUAUUGGGCGUAAAGAGCUCGUAGGCGGUUUGUCGCGUCUGGUGUGAAAAUCCAGGGCUUAACCCUGGACCUGCAUCGGGUACGGGCAGACUAGAGUGCGGUAGGGGAGAUCGGAAUUCCUGGUGUAGCGGUGAAAUGCGCAGAUAUCUGGAGGAACACCGGUGGCGAAGGCGGCAUCCUGGACCGGUAUUGACGCUGAGGCGCGAAAGCUAGGGGAGCAAACGGG